This 200-nucleotide ribosomal RNA is filed under the name uncultured eukaryote. RNAcentral's name for it is "partial 18S ribosomal RNA". It matches the Rfam family "Eukaryotic small subunit ribosomal RNA", at positions 588 to 795 of the family's 1831-position model. The record is from RNAcentral.
GCUCCAAUAGCGUAUAUUAAAGUUGUUGCGGUUAAAAAGCUCGUAGUUGGAUUUCUGUCUGGAACGGGCGGUCCGGCCUAGGCCGUGUAUCUGUCUUAUCUAGGCAUCCUCAUGAAGAUCGUCGCUGUGCUUCAUUGCGUGGUGCGGAAUUCAUGACUUUUACUUUGAGGAAAUUAGAGUGUUCACGGCAAGCAAUCGCU